Molecule: ribosomal RNA, 432 nt
Filed under: uncultured bacterium
Lineage: Bacteria
Description: partial 16S ribosomal RNA
Rfam family: Bacterial small subunit ribosomal RNA
Source: RNAcentral
GCGAACGCUGGCGGCAGGCCUAACACCUGCAAGUCGCACGAACUCUUCGGAGUUAGUGGCGGACGGGUGAGUAACACGUGGGAACGCGCCUUUUGGUUCGGAAUAACUCAGGGAAACUUGUGCUAAUACCGAAUGUGCCCUUCGGGGGAAAGAUUUAUCGCCAUUAGAGCGGCCCGCGUCUGAUUAGCUAGUUGGUGAGGUAACGGCUCACCAAGGCGACGAUCAGUAGCUGGUCUGAGAGGAUGACCAGCCACACUGGGACUGAGACACGGCCCAGACUCCUACGGGAGGCAGCAGUGGGGAAUCUUGCGCAAUGGGCGAAAGCCUGACGCAGCCAUGCCGCGUGAAUGAUGAAGGUCUUAGGAUUGUAAAAUUCUUUCACCGGGGACGAUAAUGACGGUACCCGGAGAAGAAGCCCCGGCUAACUUCGUG